AUUGAACGCUGGCGGCAGGCCUAACACAUGCAAGUCGAGCAGGGGUAGCAAUACCCUAGCGGCGAACGGGUGAGGAAUGCUUGGGAAUCUGCCUGGUAGUGGGGGAUAACGUUCCGAAAGGAACGCUAAUACCGCAUACGUCCUACGGGAGAAAGGGGGGGAUCUUCGGACCUCUCGCUAUCAGAUGAGCCCAAGCGGGAUUAGCUAGUUGGUGAGGUAAAGGCUCACCAAGGCGACGAUCCCUAGCUGGUCUGAGAGGAUGAUCAGCCACACUGGAACUGAGACACGGUCCAGACUCCUACGGGAGGCAGCAGUGGGGAAUAUUGGACAAUGGGCGAAAGCCUGAUCCAGCCAUGCCGCGUGUGUGAAGAAGGCCU
RNAcentral lists this ribosomal RNA (377 nucleotides) under uncultured bacterium. RNAcentral's name for it is "bacterial SSU rRNA". It matches the Rfam family "Bacterial small subunit ribosomal RNA", at positions 30 to 417 of the family's 1533-position model. The record is from RNAcentral.